RNAcentral lists this non-coding RNA (104 nucleotides) under unclassified sequences. The record is from Rfam by way of RNAcentral.
GCCCAGGCACUCCAGGCACGGGUGUACCCGCAACCGGGGUGCCCGCAACCGGUGUACCCGCAACCGGGGUGCCCGCAACUGGGGUGCCCGCAACUGGGGCAUCA